This is a long non-coding RNA of Anoplophora glabripennis (Asian longhorned beetle), 1317 nucleotides long. RefSeq lists it as uncharacterized. NCBI's taxonomy places the organism in Eukaryota, Metazoa, Arthropoda, Insecta, Coleoptera, Cerambycidae. The transcript is spliced from 3 exons. The record is from RefSeq and is a predicted model, not a curated record.
AUACUGGUGGGUAGUCUGCACAAAUAGAGAUGACACCCGCGCCUUGAGGUACCUAGGUAUACCUGGGUUUACAGGUAUUUAUUACAAUAUCAAUUAUGCAAAAUGCAAAGCAGUUCAAUUCAUGCAAACUAAUUCUACAGAUGAAAUACAAAAUGCAGUAAUAUACCAGUAUAAUAAAUGUUACAUAAAAGAAACAAAGAGUUAAAAGUAUGUGGCAGUGCCCCUACAACUACGUUGCCUGGCAGUCAACUCGGACGAGUGACUGUACGAAAUUCCUUCGAUGCCUAGUCCCCAGUCCUGAGGUGGUACCAGGAAGCAGGGAAUGUCUGGAUGUUGUACUCCACCGUGUAUACAAGGAAACGGAGAAGGUCCCUAACCAUAUGUGUAUAUGGGCUUUGGCUCGUACAAGGAUGGUGCCAAGUACAGGUGUUAUGUACUUCCCGAGGUUCUGUACGUUGUAGAGAAGUGCACAACGUAACAGUUUAGUAACGUGAAACUUUCUGACGUAAAAGUAUUUGGCCUAAAAGGAGGAGGAACGGAUAAGUUAACGUAUAAGAGCGCAGCACUUGCAAUCUUGCAGAAAUAGUUUAGAUUUAAAGUAAAUGAUGAGAUGUAUGUGAUAUUAGAGAAAUUUGAGCUUACCAAGUGAUGGUGUGUGGCCAACGAAGUGAUCUUUCCGGGAGGAGGUUGACGAUAACUAUUGCACUAGCACUUUGCAGAAUCCAGAAGCUACUGUAUGCAAUACUUAAUUGACUUUAUUACAAAAGUUAUAGUGCAGAAAUCGUGAGUGUAAAUCAGCAAAAUAGCUUUUAAACGGCUUCAAACUGCCAAAUCAAAAUGGUGCCUCUUCACACAGAAUUACUACCCAAAAAACUCAUAAAUUCUUCAAAACCCGCGAAUUUUUGGGCCAAUGGAGGGGAGAUGACUGUUUAGGGAUUUUCUAAAUCUAAAUGGUUUUAAAUUAGCUAUCUCUCUCUGGUGUAUAUAAGGUUAGAUAGGUAUAACCACAGACAAAAUAUUUGGAUAAAGAUGACAGAAAUAAAUUGGGGUUAUGUUUAUACCUGGAAAAUGUAUCAACAAGAGAAGUUUGUUGUACCGAUUAUUAAAUUGCAAGUGACUCAUAUGCUGUUACUCUUAUACUGGGACAUUCUAAGAUGCACUCCAUCUCUGCGGAGCUUAAACGGAUAAGGUUAUGGACGGAUAUUAUGGACAAUGUUCGGAGGCUACAAAGGCUGGGGGGACACCAACUAGACUAGGCAUCGAUUGCUGAAGUACGUAGCAACAAGUUACCUGUACUAUUUAAUAAAUAAAGAAUUU